Molecule: ribosomal RNA, 400 nt
Filed under: uncultured bacterium
Lineage: Bacteria
Description: bacterial SSU rRNA
Rfam family: Bacterial small subunit ribosomal RNA
Source: RNAcentral
UAGGGAAUCUUCCGCAAUGGACGAAAGUCUGACGGAGCAACGCCGCGUGAGUGAAGAAGGCCUUCGGGUCGUAAAACUCUGUUGCCGGGGAAGAACAAGUGCCGUUCGAACAGGGCGGCGCCUUGACGGUACCCGGCCAGAAAGCCACGGCUAACUACGUGCCAGCAGCCGCGGUAAUACGUAGGUGGCAAGCGUUGUCCGGAAUUAUUGGGCGUAAAGCGCGCGCAGGCGGCUUCUUAAGUCUGAUGUGAAAUCUUGCGGCUCAACCGCAAGCGGUCAUUGGAAACUGGGAGGCUUGAGUGCAGAAGAGGAGAGUGGAAUUCCACGUGUAGCGGUGAAAUGCGUAGAGAUGUGGAGGAACACCAGUGGCGAAGGCGGCUCUCUGGUCUGUAACUGACGC